This 94-nucleotide non-coding RNA is filed under the name Gordonia sputi. RNAcentral describes it as "Gordonia sp. TPP sequence". It matches the Rfam family "TPP riboswitch aptamer (THI element)". Rfam says of the family: Vitamin B(1) in its active form thiamin pyrophosphate (TPP) is an essential coenzyme that is synthesised by coupling of pyrimidine and thiazole moieties in bacteria. The previously detected thiamin-regulatory element, thi box was extended, resulting in a new, highly conserved RNA secondary structure, the THI element, which is widely distributed in eubacteria and also occurs in some archaea. Analysis of operon structures identified a large number of new candidate thiamin-regulated genes, mostly transporters, in various prokaryotic organisms. The record is from RNAcentral. Lineage: Bacteria; Bacillati; Actinomycetota; Actinomycetes; Mycobacteriales; Gordoniaceae.
GUGAGUGACACGGGGUGCUGCCGCGGCAGCUGAGACCACACCCGUCGAACCUGAUCCGGUUAGCACCGGCGAAGGGAUGUCCGCCUCCUUCGUC